RNAcentral lists this ribosomal RNA (684 nucleotides) under uncultured bacterium. RNAcentral's name for it is "bacterial SSU rRNA". It matches the Rfam family "Bacterial small subunit ribosomal RNA", at positions 798 to 1489 of the family's 1533-position model. The record is from RNAcentral.
CGCUGUAGAUGAUAUAGGUGUGGGGGGACUGACCCCCUCCGUGCCGCAGUUAACACAAUAAGUAUUCCACCUGGGGAGUACGGUCGCAAGACUGAAACUCAAAGGAAUUGACGGGGGCCCGCACAAGCAGUGGAUUAUGUGGUUUAAUUCGAAGCAACGCGAAGAACCUUACCAGGGUUUGACAUCCAACUAACGAAGCAGAGAUGCAUUAGGUGCCCUUCGGGGAAAGUUGAGACAGGUGGUGCAUGGUUGUCGUCAGCUCGUGUCGUGAGAUGUUGGGUUAAGUCCCGCAACGAGCGCAACCCUUAUUGCUAGUUGCUACGCAAGAGCACUCUAGCGAGACUGCCGUUGACAAAACGGAGGAAGGUGGGGACGACGUCAAAUCAUCAUGCCCCUUAUAUCCUGGGCUACACACGUAAUACAAUGGCGCAUUAACAGAGGGAAGCAAAGCCGCGAGGUGGAGCAAAUCCCUAAAAGGCGUCUCAGUUCGGAUUGCAGGCUGCAACUCGCCUGCAUGAAGUCGGAAUUGCUAGUAAUCGCGGAUCAGCAUGCCGCGGUGAAUACGUUCCCGGGCCUUGUACACACCGCCCGUCACACCAUGAGAGUCGGGAACACCCGAAGUCCGUAGUCUAACCGCAAGGGGGACGCGGCCGAAGGUGGGUUUGAUAAUUGGGGUGAAGUCGU